UGACGGAGCAACGCCGCGUGAGUGAUGAAGGUUUUCGGAUCGUAAAGCUCUGUUGUUAGGGAAGAACAAGUGCAAGAGUAACUGCUUGCACCUUGACGGUACCUAACCAGAAAGCCACGGCUAACUACGUGCCAGCAGCCGCGGUAAUACGUAGGUGGCAAGCGUUGUCCGGAAUUAUUGGGCGUAAAGGGCUCGCAGGCGGUUUCUUAAGUCUGAUGUGAAAGCCCCCGGCUCAACCGGGGAGGGUCAUUGGAAACUGGGAAACUUGAGUGCAGAAGAGGAGAGUGGAAUUCCACGUGUAGCGGUGAAAUGCGUAGAGAUGUGGAGGAACACCAGUGGCGAAGGCGACUCUCUGGUCUGUAACUGACGCUGAGGAGCGAAAGCGUGGGGAGCGAACAGGAUUAGAUACCCUGGUAGUCCACGCCGUAAACGAUGAGUGCUAAGUGUUAGGGGGUUUCCGCCCCUUAGUGCUGCAGCUAACGCAUUAAGCACUCCGCCUGGGGAGUACGGUCGCAAGACUGAAACUCAAAGGAAUUGACGGGGGCCCGCACAAGCGGUGGAGCAUGUGGUUUAAUUCGAAGCAACGCGAAGAACCUUACCAGGUCUUGACAUCCUCUGACAACCCUAGAGAUAGGGCUUUCCCUUCGGGGACAGAGUGACAGGUGGUGCAUGGUUGUCGUCAGCUCGUGUCGUGAGAUGUUGGGUUAAGUCCCGCAACGAGCGCAACCCUUGAUCUUAGUUGCCAGCAUUUUAGUUUGGGC
Molecule: ribosomal RNA, 761 nt
Filed under: Bacillus sp. CR47
Lineage: Bacteria; Bacillati; Bacillota; Bacilli; Caryophanales; Bacillaceae
Description: bacterial SSU rRNA
Rfam family: Bacterial small subunit ribosomal RNA
Source: RNAcentral